This 567-nucleotide ribosomal RNA is filed under the name Thermothelomyces thermophilus. RNAcentral describes it as "eukaryotic LSU rRNA". The stretch from base 193 to 346 matches the Rfam family "5.8S ribosomal RNA". Lineage: Eukaryota; Fungi; Ascomycota; Sordariomycetes; Sordariales; Chaetomiaceae. The record is from RNAcentral.
CCAUGGGACGCGGAGGUCAUUACAGAGCUGCAAAACUCCCUAAACCAUCGUGAACGCUACCUAAACCGUUGCUUCGGCGGGCGGCGCCCUCGCGCGCCCCCCCUGGGGCCCGCACCGCGGGCGCCCGCCGGAGGUACACCAAACUCUUGAUAUGUUAUGGCCACUCUGAGUCUCCUGUACUGAAUAAGUCAAAACUUUCAACAACGGAUCUCUUGGUUCUGGCAUCGAUGAAGAACGCAGCGAAAUGCGAUAAGUAAUGUGAAUUGCAGAAUUCAGUGAAUCAUCGAAUCUUUGAACGCACAUUGCGCCCGCCAGCAUCCUGGCGGGCAUGCCUGUUCGAGCGUCAUUUCAACCCAUCAAGCCCACGGCUUGUGUUGGGGACCUGCGGCUGCCCGCAGGCCCUGAAAACCAGUGGCGGGCUCGCUAGUCACACCGGGCGUAGUAGCAUACGACCUCGCUCAGGGCGUGCUGCGGGUUCCAGCCGUAAAACGACCUUCACAACCCAAGGUUGACCUCGGAUCAGGUAGGAGGACCCGCUGAACUUAAGCAUAUCAAAAGCCGGAGGAA